RNAcentral lists this ribosomal RNA (486 nucleotides) under uncultured bacterium. RNAcentral describes it as "partial 16S ribosomal RNA". It matches the Rfam family "Bacterial small subunit ribosomal RNA", at positions 28 to 507 of the family's 1533-position model. The record is from RNAcentral.
GACGAACGCUGGCGGCGUGCUUAACACAUGCAAGUCGAACGCUGAAGGCCUGGCUUUUGUUGGGUUGGUUGAGUGGCGAACGGGUGAGUAACACGUGAGUAACCUGCCCUCUUCUUUGGGAUAACGCCCUGAAACGGGUGCUAAUACUGGAUAUUCACUGAUCUUCGCAUGGGGGUUGGUGGAAAGGUUUGUUCUGGUGGGGAAUGGGCUCGCGGCCUAUCAGCUUGUUGGUGGGGUGAUGGCCUACCAAGGCUUUGACGGGUAGCCGGCCUGAGAGGGUGACCGGUAACAUUGGGACUGAGAGACGGUCCAGAGUUCUACGGGAGGCAGCAGUGGGGAAUAUUGAACAAUGGGUGAACGCCUGAUGCAGCGACGCCGCGUGAGGGAUGGAGGCCUGAGGGUUGUAAACCUCUUUCGCUCAUGGUCAAGCCGCAACUGUGGGUUGUGGUGAGGGUAGUGGGUAAAGAAGCGCCGGCUAACUACGUG